Molecule: ribosomal RNA, 484 nt
Filed under: uncultured bacterium
Lineage: Bacteria
Description: partial 16S ribosomal RNA
Rfam family: Bacterial small subunit ribosomal RNA
Source: RNAcentral
AUUGAACGCUGGCGGAAUGCUUUACACAUGCAAGUCGAACGGCAGCACGGGGGCAGCCCUGGUGGCGAGUGGCGAACGGGUGAGUAAUACAUCGGAACGUGCCCGGUCGUGGGGGAUAACGUAGCGAAAGUUACGCUAAUACCGCAUACGAUCUGAGGAUGAAAGCGGGGGACCUUCGGGCCUCGCGCGAUCGGAGCGGCCGACGUCAGAUUAGGUAGUUGGUGGGGUAAAGGCCUACCAAGCCGACGAUCUGUAGCUGGUCUGAGAGGACGACCAGCCACACUGGGACUGAGACACGGCCCAGACUCCUACGGGAGGCAGCAGUGGGGAAUUUUGGACAAUGGGCGCAAGCCUGAUCCAGCCAUUCCGCGUGCAGGACGAAGGCCUUCGGGUUGUAAACUGCUUUUGUACGGAACGAAAAGGCUCUGGCUAAUACCUGGGGCUCAUGACGGUACCGUAAGAAUAAGCACCGGCUAACUACGUG